Molecule: ribosomal RNA, 253 nt
Filed under: uncultured bacterium
Lineage: Bacteria
Description: partial 16S ribosomal RNA
Rfam family: Bacterial small subunit ribosomal RNA
Source: RNAcentral
UACGUAGGCAGCGAGCGUUGUUCGGAUUUACUGGGCGUAAAGAGUGCGUAGGCGGUUUUCUACGUUUGGUGUGAAAUCUCCCGGCUUAACUGGGAGGGUGCGCCGAAAACUGGAAGGCUUGAGUAUGGGAGAGGUAAGCGGAAUUCCUGGUGUAGCGGUGAAAUGCGUAGAUAUCAGGAGGAACACCUGCGGUGUAGACGGCUUACUGGACCAUAACUGACGCUGAGGCACGAAAGCGUGGGUAGCAAACAGG